This 253-nucleotide ribosomal RNA is filed under the name uncultured bacterium. Its description in RNAcentral is "partial 16S ribosomal RNA". It matches the Rfam family "Bacterial small subunit ribosomal RNA", at positions 524 to 776 of the family's 1533-position model. The record is from RNAcentral.
UACAGAGGUGGCAAGCGUUGUUCGGAAUUACUGGGCGUAAAGGGCGCGUAGGCGGCCCACUAAGUCAGACGUGAAAUCCCCCGGCUUAACCUGGGAACUGCGUCUGAUACUGGAGGGCUUGAGUAUGGGAGAGGGAUGUAGAAUUCCAGGUGUAGCGGUGAAAUGCGUAGAUAUCUGGAGGAAUACCGGUGGCGAAGGCGGCAUCCUGGACCAUUACUGACGCUGAUGCGCGAAAGCUAGGGGAGCAAACGGG